Bos taurus (domestic cattle) is the source of this 74-nucleotide non-coding RNA. The record is from Rfam. NCBI's taxonomy places the organism in Eukaryota, Metazoa, Chordata, Mammalia, Artiodactyla, Bovidae.
GCCCCAGUGGCCUAAUGGAUAAGGCACUGGCCUCCUAAAGCCAGGGAUUGUGGGUUCGAGUCCCACCUGGGGUG